RNAcentral lists this ribosomal RNA (492 nucleotides) under uncultured bacterium. RNAcentral describes it as "partial 16S ribosomal RNA". It matches the Rfam family "Bacterial small subunit ribosomal RNA", at positions 29 to 507 of the family's 1533-position model. The record is from RNAcentral.
AGUGAACGCUGGCGGUAUGCCUAACACAUGCAAGUCGAACGGCAACACAGUAAGAUCGUGCUCUUACGGGUGGCGAGUGGCGGACGGGUGAGGCAUACAUCGGCAUGUACUUUUUCGGGGGGGAUAACGGAGGGAAACUUACGCUAAUACCGCAUACAACCUACCGCAGAAAGCAAUAGUGCUUGGGACCUUUCGUGUCUGUAUUAGACGGUGUCGGAUUAGCUAGUUGGGGGGGUAAGGGCACACCAAGGCAACGAUGCGUAGCUGGUCUGAGAGGAUGAUCGGCCACACUGGAACUGAGACACGGUCCAGACUCCUACGGGAGGCAGCAGUGGGGAAUCUUGCACAAUGGGCGCAAGCCUGACCCAGCCAUACCGCGUGAGUGAAGAAGGUCUUCGGGUCGUAAAGCCCUGUUGUUGGGAAAGAACAGCAGCGUGUUAAUCCCCCGCUGUUUUGACGGUACCCAAAGAAUAAGCACCGGCUAACUUCGUG